UGGGGAAACCCUGACGCACCAACGCCGCGUGAGUGAUGAAGGCUUUCGGGUCGUAAAGCUCUGUCAAGUGGGAAGAAAGCAUAUAGAACCAAUAAUUCUAUUUAUUGACGGUACCACUGAAGGAAGCACCGGCUAACUCCGUGCCAGCAGCCGCGGUAAUACGGGGGGUGCUAGCGUUAUUCGGAUUUACUGGGCGUAAAGGGCGCGCAGGCGGUUUUUUAAGUCAGAUGUGAAAGCCCGGGGCUCAACCCCGGAAGUGCAUUUGAAACUAAAAGACUUGAGUAUGGGAGAGGGAAGUGGAAUUCCUGGUGUAGCGGUGAAAUGCGUAGAUAUCAGGAGGAACACCGGUGGCGAAGGCGACUUCCUGGACCAAUACUGACGCUGAGGCGCGAAGGCGUGGGGAGCAAACAGGAUUAGAUACCCUGGUAGUCCACGCAGUAAACGGUGAUCACUAGGUGUAGCGGGUAUUGACCCCUGCUGUGCCGCAGCUAACGCAUUAAGUGAUCCGCCUGGGGAGACGGGCAG
This 525-nucleotide ribosomal RNA is filed under the name uncultured delta proteobacterium. RNAcentral describes it as "bacterial SSU rRNA". It matches the Rfam family "Bacterial small subunit ribosomal RNA", at positions 373 to 888 of the family's 1533-position model. Lineage: Bacteria; Deltaproteobacteria. The record is from RNAcentral.